GAAAAUUAAAUGGAACAAGUAUGAGACAUUCCAGUAUGCAUUAAUUCAAAAGAAAAAGCAAACAAAUACUUUGUCAAUAUACAUUCACAUUACUUUAUACACAUCACUCCAACACCAAAGAAGAGAUGAGUAACAUCAAUAUACCUCAUGCUGACAGAUUCAAUACUUUUUUGUGGGGCCAGGGCUCAUCUUUGCUACACAGCAAGAUCAAAGCUCUGAGACAGACCUGUGGCCAAGACUAAAACCUGACUUUGGCACAAAGAUUGCCCCAGUCUCACUAGAUAAGGCCAGACUCCCUUUAACAACUUUCUUCAAUCAAAAGUGAUAGUCCCACUCCCAAGAAAUUUCCCCCCACGCAUCACGCACAGGAUUCUUCAUUGUACUAAUUCACUUGUAACCAAACUGGCAACAACUGCUCCCUACUGGUGACCUGCCUGCUCAGUGAGACACAGCACCUCCCUGGGCUGUCAGAUAAGCAACAGAGCUGGCAUCAAAGGGGACAGUGACAUAGCCACAAGGCAGAACAUCUGUUUGUAGCAGAGACCUUAGAUAUGCUCAGGCUAACUCAUCAGGCUGCCCCCUUUGAUAGGAGUUGCUGUUUCUGCUGUGCAAGAAAAAUGACAGCAGACAAUAUUAGUAUCUGAAAGGUUCAGCUUCAUUGAGAUAGGUUCCAUUUGGAAUCAACACACCCUGCCAAGGCCACACCAAAACUCUGAACUGAGAAACAAGCCAAAGCCAGCUUCAAGGCCAACAGUAACCACUCUGACAUUCUGCCACCUGCCACAGCAUAACCUGGUAUUUAGCAACUUGUAGCACAGCUACAGGAAGUCAGUUUUCUUAGUAAAACGGAACGUAUGUUCCAGGCCUCUGCAAGAGCAAUGUUUUGUUUCUUUACUUUGCAAGUUUCUGAGGUUUAAACCAGACAGCACACAGAAAAGACCAGGCUGUAUUCUGCAACCCUGAGCUAUCCUUACACCAACAGAGAUGCACUUCCCAUUUUCUUUUUCAAUUGCCCUUGUUAUUGUGUCUGUCUAGAGACUAAAGGAGACAAUUCCAAGUUCAUUUCCUUCAGUGUGCCACAAAGUAGCACAAAGAAAUAUGCAGAAGAUGACAGGGUUAUUUUCAGUGGAAAGAAGAAAUAACACAGGAAGCAGCAAAUUAUAAGAAUCAGUUUCACUUUCCUAUGAAGAAAUUUCACAUGGAGUCACAGACACUGGAAUUACAAACAGGAAGAAAGGCAAACAGGCAGCAACUGAGAAAGAAACUGCAAUGAGAUGGUGAGGAACGGGUGACUCCAUCUCUUCCAUUACAAAAGCGAUGAAAAAAUAAAAAACCAUGAAAAAACCAAAUUUUCUCCUUUCUAACCUGUGAAUCACAGAAUCAGCACUCAUUUUCAAAAACCUUAGGACCCUAAUUAAAGCUUCACAAAGAGAUUCCAGAGAAUCUUUCCAUUUCUGACUGAGAAGCUGAAUGCUCACCUCUUUAUAAUCCCCCUUGCCUACAGGAUGGACUGCUCUACAGGUAACUUUAAAGUGCUGGGAAGGAGAAUGGUCCCAGGAGUGUUCUUCUGAAUAUUUUUUGUUUCAAGUUACUUAUAUAUUUUUUAAUACCUAGACAAAUCUUCAUAAAUCCGUUUAAGAUAUUUCAAACAAGCAAAUAGAAAACUCAAAUCUAUUUUAAAUAAGUGCACAAGUACUGAAUAGCUGUACACAGUGACAAAUAUUACAUACCAUUUUCUCUUCAUAUGUAGGAUCUGUUUCCUGGAUUUCUUUUUGCUUUGCCAAAGAUGCAUCAUCAAAAGACUCCUGAGAUGAAAAAGAAUUAAGAAGAAAUAUUUCUGAAAAAGGGAAGAUACCUAUUUAAAGGAGAACAAGCUUGUUUCACAUUGCAUCAAAGCAGCAAAAGCAGGCUGUAGCACCUGAUGUGGACAGAUAGCAGUCAGCUCUCUCUUAUUUGCUAUACAAUUACCUGGAGAUGGAUUGAAGACCCCUGCCACGGGGUGAGGGACAGAGCAGGGUCUCUGUAAUCUGAUUUAGCUCCAUCAUUAAGGCAUGACAUCAAUGUGAAUGGGGGAGACAGCUGUGGUCCAGGAGAUCAGCAUGCCACUUCUAGGGUGCUGAAACAACCCCUCAUGAAGCUGGCUCUGAGGUGGACUGUGAAAGCACUAGCUCCAGGCCUGAAGUGAGGGUAAUUUCAAGGUUUUUGCCAGAUCACCCCAAUCCCUCAUCACUCUGUAUUAAAGGAACAAAUCUAAAGAAGAUUCCACCCUGCAUUUUUGUCCUGAAAGCUGAGGAGGAGUUUAGGAAACUGUAUUUUUCUCCUGUGCAGUUUAUUAAAUUAAAUAAUGUUCAUCACCCAUGGCACUACUAAGAACAGUAAAACCAGCUGGCUGGGAGAGGGCAGUCCUCCCUCACUGCCUUCCUGCCACAUCCUUAACAUACUGCCUUCAAUUACUCUUUUGGAUCAGGGCUUUUUUAUCCUUGUCUCUUCUGUCAUUAGGUUAACCCUUUCCACAUCAUCUCCCAUAAGCAUUUUCAUCUUCUGUUGUUAAAACUAAAAGCAGUGAGAUGAUCCUUCCCAGACAAACAAUGCUAAGGUAACAUAUUACAACACAACUCUUGAAAGGGUGAGAAAAUGAAACAAAUGAGAUGCUUUCAAGUGUUUAUUAACCAUCUGUUUAACUGAGCCAAGUAAGAAUGGGGCUAAAUUCAAUCUUUAUUGGCAAAUAUAGAACAAAGGAAGAGGAAAAGUAAGAAACAAAUGAAACAAAGGCUGGAAAGAAACAGGAUGUUUGUCAGUGGGUAUUUCCCCUGGCAGGUGAGGCACAUGGAAACAGAAAAAUCCUAACACAAAUGUUUAAUUCACUAGGUCAAAAUAUAAAGAAUUAAGCAUAAGAAGUCAUAACCAAAUUCUCUUACUCAUCCCUCACCGGACUGAGCCAACACCCAGUGAGCACAAGCAGAGGACGGUUGGAACUUCUGUUCACAAUUCCCCUUUCUCCCACAAUGCCUAACCUGGAAAGCACAGCACGGCCAUCUGAGCUCAUCAUCUGCUGCACAGAUGACAAAACCCUGCAAUUCAGCUGGAGACCAGGGAAAGCAGUCCUUCAAAUGCUCACGGCUCCCAGGCAUCCCAACUCAAACUUCACUGUAUGCCAGGAAAUCCCUUCCCAAGGUAAAAAAGGAAGGGACUUGGCAGCACAGAGAGCCCUGGCACACAAGCGCCUCGAGAGCACGCGUUCCUCAGCCCGCACACGCUAAACUCCAGCCUGGAACUGCCCUAUUUCUGCAGGCUCGAGCAAGAUUUAUUUUCCACAGUGCUAUGGCUACUUGUUCACCCGAAAAACACGGCAUUUGCAAAUUUAUUUAGAACAAGUAGGCUGAGCAGCCCAGCGUGACUCAGGGUGCAAAAUACCCGGCGCUGAAAGCAGGACCGACCAGUUUCCUGCUAUCAUUAAAGAAACAAUGCUGCGACAGAAUUAGCAUCUCCAGGCAAUCACUUCCAGCCCCCUGAAAUUUCUGGAAUAUACGCACCUGUUGUCAAAACAACCCCUCCCACAACCCUCACACCGUCUUCCUCCCCCUCUAAAGGGAAAAAAAAAAAAAAAAAAAAAAAAGAAAGAAGAAAAAAAAGUUUUGAAGCACUUCAGCAGACAAACAUGGGCCAUGCUUUUUUAGACGCCGGGCUGGCUCGCCGCUGGAGCAGGAAGCGCAGAGGCUGGGCAGGGUCUCGGGGAGGCAGGAGCAGACAGACAGACAGACAGACAGACAGACAGCCUGCGGGUGCGCGGGGGCUCCCGCGGCCCCGCGUGUAAAACGAGCGAGCGGCGUGACCCGGCCGCAGCGCCUCCCUCCCCGCGGCCCGGGGCAGGACGAGCGCGGCCCCCGGGCCCCCCGCGCGGCGGGGAGGGGGCAGCAGGGCCGGGAGGCCCCCGGACACCGGCACCGCGCUCCCGGCCGGAGGGAGGGCAGGCGGGAGG
Long non-coding RNA from Passer domesticus (house sparrow), 3979 nucleotides. RefSeq lists it as uncharacterized. The transcript has 3 exons. Lineage: Eukaryota; Metazoa; Chordata; Aves; Passeriformes; Passeridae. The record is from RefSeq and is a predicted model, not a curated record.